Molecule: ribosomal RNA, 253 nt
Filed under: uncultured bacterium
Lineage: Bacteria
Description: partial 16S ribosomal RNA
Rfam family: Bacterial small subunit ribosomal RNA
Source: RNAcentral
UACGUAGGGAGCAAGCGUUAUCCGGAUUUAUUGGGUGUAAAGGGUGCGUAGACGGGAAAACAAGUUAGUUGCGAAAUCCCUCGGCUUAACUGAGGAACUGCAACUAAAACUAUUUUUCUUGAGUGCUGGAGAGGAAAGUGGAAUUCCUAGUGUAGCGGUGAAAUGCGUAGAUAUUAGGAGGAACACCAGUGGCGAAGGCGACUUUCUGGACAGUAACUGACGUUGAGGCACGAAAGUGUGGGGAGCAAACAGG